UGAGUAUAUUCUGAUUUUUAUUUUGUUUUAUUGAUAUGAUCAUGGACAUAAUUUAUGGAGUUCAAGAUGGAGAUCAAGUUUCGAUCCUUGGAGGUUGUAUAUAGUUGUUCUUGAGGAAAGUGUGUACUCAGUUUUUCUGAUUUUGUUCUUGGAACCUGUCCUGGUGGGGGCAGGGUUCAUUGUUAGUAAUCUUGCAAGGUGUGUUCGAGGCUCAGAAUUGAUCAAAAAGGAUGAAUUUGGUUAUGGCAUUAUAAUUAAAAUUGUUAUUCAGAGGUUGUAUUUAGGAGUAUAUAUUCUUAUUUGAGAAUAAAAUAUUAUAUUGUUUUGGGAA
Molecule: long non-coding RNA, 331 nt
Organism: Beta vulgaris subsp. vulgaris (sugar beet)
Lineage: Eukaryota; Viridiplantae; Streptophyta; Magnoliopsida; Caryophyllales; Amaranthaceae
Exons: 2
Source: RefSeq, a predicted model, not a curated record